GAUGAACGCUGGCGGCGUGCCUAAUACAUGCAAGUCGAGCGAACGGACGAGAAGCUUGCUUUUCUGAUGUUAGCGGCGGACGGGUGAGUAACACGUGGAUAACCUACCUAUAAGACUGGGAUAACAUCGGGAAACCGGAGCUAAUACCGGAUAAUAUUUUGAACCGCAUGGUUCAAAAGUGAAAGACGGUCUUGCUGUCACUUAUAGAUGGAUCCGCGCUGCAUUAGCUAGUUGGUAAGGUAACGGCUUACCAAGGCAACGAUGCAUAGCCGACCUGAGAGGGUGAUCGGCCACACUGGAACUGAGACACGGUCCAGACUCCUACGGGAGGCAGCAGUAGGGAAUCUUCCGCAAUGGGCGAAAGCCUGACGGAGCAACGCCGCGUGAGUGAUGAAGGUCUUCGGAUCGUAAAACUCUGUUAUUAGGGAAGAACAUAUGUGUAAGUAACUGUGCACAUCUUGACGGUACCUAAUCAGAAAGCCACGGCUAACUACGUG
Molecule: ribosomal RNA, 497 nt
Filed under: uncultured bacterium
Lineage: Bacteria
Description: partial 16S ribosomal RNA
Rfam family: Bacterial small subunit ribosomal RNA
Source: RNAcentral